CGGGCUGUAGCGCAGUGGGAGCGCGCUUGGUUCGGGAUCAAGAAGUCGGGGGUUCAAAUCCCCCCAGCCCGA
The sequence is a transfer RNA, 72 nucleotides long. It matches the Rfam family "tRNA". Rfam says of the family: Transfer RNA (tRNA) molecules are approximately 80 nucleotides in length. Their secondary structure includes four short double-helical elements and three loops (D, anti-codon, and T loops). Further hydrogen bonds mediate the characteristic L-shaped molecular structure. tRNAs have two regions of fundamental functional importance: the anti-codon, which is responsible for specific mRNA codon recognition, and the 3' end, to which the tRNAs corresponding amino acid is attached (by aminoacyl-tRNA synthetases). tRNAs cope with the degeneracy of the genetic code in two manners: having more than one tRNA (with a specific anti-codon) for a particular amino acid; and 'wobble' base-pairing, i.e. permitting non-standard base-pairing at the 3rd anti-codon position. The record is from Rfam.